RNAcentral lists this ribosomal RNA (421 nucleotides) under uncultured bacterium. RNAcentral describes it as "bacterial SSU rRNA". It matches the Rfam family "Bacterial small subunit ribosomal RNA", at positions 356 to 773 of the family's 1533-position model. The record is from RNAcentral.
GAGGAAUAUUGGUCAAUGGGCGAAAGCCUGAACCAGCCAUCCCGCGUGCGGGAAGACGGCCCUAUGGGUUGUAAACUGCUUUUCCAGGAGGAGAAACUCUCGUACGUGAUACGGGAUUGACGGUACCCUGGGAAUAAGCAUCGGCUAACUCCGUGCCAGCAGCCGCGGUAAUACGGAGGAUGCGAGCGUUAUCCGGAUUCAUUGGGUUUAAAGGGUGCGUAGGCGGACUAUUAAGUCAGUGGUGAAAUCCUGCAGCUUAACUGCAGAACUGCCGUUGAUACUGAUAGUCUUGAGUUUGGUUAAGGUAGGCGGAAUGUGUAAUGUAGCGGUGAAAUGCUUAGAUAUUACACAGAACACCGAUUGCGUAGGCAGCUUACUGAGCCGACACUGACGCUGAGGCACGAAAGCGUGGGGAUCGAAC